GAAGAACUUAGUUCUAGAUUUGUAUUUUUACAAACAUUGCAAUGAGUGGCGAACGGGUGAGUAACACGUGGGAAACCUACCUCUUAGCAGGGGAUAACAUUUGGAAACAAAUGCUAAUACCGUAUAAUAAUUAAAACCGCAUGGUUUUAGUUUAAAAGAUGGUCUUGCUAUCACUAAGAGAUGGUCCCGCGGUGUAUUAGUUAGUCGGUGAGGUAAUGGCUCACCAAGACAAUGAUACAUAGCCGAGUUGAGAGACUGACCGGCCACAAUGGGACUGAGACACGGCCCAUACUCCUACGGGAGGCAGCAGUAGGGAAUCUUCCACAAUGGACGAAAGUCUGAUGGAGCAACGCCGCGUGUGUGAUGAAGGGUUUCGGCUCGUAAAACACUGUUGUAAGAGAAGAAUGACAUUGAGAGUAACUGUUCAAUGUGUGACGGUAUCUUACCAGAAAGGAACGGCUAAAUACGUG
Molecule: ribosomal RNA, 470 nt
Filed under: uncultured bacterium
Lineage: Bacteria
Description: bacterial SSU rRNA
Rfam family: Bacterial small subunit ribosomal RNA
Source: RNAcentral